Molecule: long non-coding RNA, 1996 nt
Organism: Nerophis ophidion (straightnose pipefish)
Lineage: Eukaryota; Metazoa; Chordata; Actinopteri; Syngnathiformes; Syngnathidae
Exons: 3
Source: RefSeq, a predicted model, not a curated record
AUACCACAACACGACUAACUCUGAAAAUAAAACAGAGGAAGUCAAACGUUGAGUGUAUGUAGAAUUGUUGCUCAAAUCAAACGUACGGGUUAUGUGCGAUGAUUAAGAUUAUGUACAUUAGGUUUUGGAGGGUGUCUCAACCGGGACCGGAAAAAGAGGAGAGUCCGGCAGGUGGCGCGCAAUCAAGAAUUAUUAAGAGCCAGGGGAUAACUUUAUAUAACAAAAAACUUUUCAAAAGUCUGCACGUUCGAAUUCAGGUGAGAAGUAAAAGUCAUAUAUGGCACGCUGUAAAGCUAAGAAAAAGAUUCGGACUUUUUGACUACAUAAACUUGGCUACCACGAGCGGGAUGAGGCCCCGGGUUAAAUCCUCGACAUUUCCACCACACAAGUUUGGAUGACAUUUUGACAAGUGACGCUGCACGUCCAGCAGAUGGCGCUGUGGUAAAAUGUGUUCCACCAUGGCAACAGUUGGACCACGGACCAGACUAAUCUACUGAUGUCAAAUAUAGAAAGAUAAUGGAAGUCCACCAACGCUCCGGUCUCCUCACCUGGGACGGACGUCCCGAGCGCCACGAAGACCACGGCGGUGACCGAGUCCUUGAGGCCGAUGGUGCAGCCGAAGUGAGACGCCAGGUCGCCGAUGACGGCCGUCAGCAGGCCGAUGAUGACGAUGGACACCACGAAGCACGCCCAGCCGUUCAUGUAGUCUGUGGGCGGCACGCAGGCGAACAGAACCUUCCAGAAGACCGUCAGGAAGUGCAUGACGUAGUCGAAGCAGGACGGAAGACGCUCCUCGCCAGCGUCGUCCUCUUCCUCGUCUGGGGGAGGACAUGAAGCCUUUACAUGUUACUCAACAACUACACCCAAUGGAUGUCAGAAUACAGGAUCUUUGACUCAUCCUUUUGUAGUAGGCCUUUAAAAAUGUCAGCAUAGAGGAUCUUUGGCUAGCGUUUUUGGAGUAGAUCCUCAAUAGCAGCAGUGUUGCCGUCACAUAGAGGAUCUUUGACGAGUGUUUUUGCACUCCGGUUUUAAUAAUUGCAUAAGAAGAUCUUCGACUAGCGUAUUUGUAUUGGAGCUUAAAUAACAACACGUCACAUAGAGGAUCUUUGACUAGAGGUUUUGAUGUAGGGCCUUAAAAACAACAGAGCACUCUUUUCACAUAGAGGAUCUUUUGGUAAUGUUUUGGCGGUAGGAUUUUAAUAACAGCAGAGCGCUCCUGUCAUAUAGAGGACCUUUGGCUAGUGUUUUUGAAGCAGAGCUAUACAAACAGCACAGCACUCCUGUUGUAUAGAGGAUCUUUGGCUAGCGUUUUUGCGGUAAACGCUGUAAAAACAGAAGAGCACUCCUGUUGUAUAAAGGAUCUUUGGCUAGGGUUUUUGCAGUAGGGCUUUAAAAGAGCACAUUACUCCUGUCAUACAGAGGAUCUUUGGCUACCAUCUUAGAAGCGAGGCUUUAUAAACAACACAGCACUCUUGUCGUAUAGAGGAUCUUUGGCUAGUGUUUUUGCCGUCAGGCUUUGAAAACAGCACUCCUGUCACAACAAGGAUCUUUGGCUAGUGUUUUUGCAAUAGAGCUUUUAAAACAGCAGAGCGCUCCUGUCAUAGAGGAUAUUUGGCCAAUGUUUUUGCAGUAAAUGGUUUAAAAACAGCGGAGGGCUCCUGUCUUGUAGAAGAUCUUUGGCUAGCAUUUUUGAAGCAGGGCUACAGCACAGCACUCCCGUCGUAUAGGGGAUCUUUGGCUAGCAUUUUUGAAGCAGGGCUACAGCACAGCACUCCCGUCGUAUAGGGGAUCUUUGGCUAGCAUUUUUGAAGCGAGGCUUUAUAAACAACACAGCACUCUUGUCGUAUAGAAGAUCUUCGGCUAGUGUUUUUGCCGUCUGGCUUUGAAAACAUCUCCGGGUUGGGGAGGAGACCCUGCCCCAAGUGGAGGAGUUCAAGUACCUAGGAGUCUUGUUCACGAGUGAGGGAAGAGUGGAUCGUGAGAUCGACAGGCGGAU